GGUUAAGCGACUAAGCGUACACGGUGGAUGCCCUGGCAGUCAGAGGCGAUGAAGGACGUGCUAAUCUGCGAUAAGCGUCGGUAAGGUGAUAUGAACCGUUAUAACCGGCGAUUUCCGAAUGGGGAAACCCAGUGUGAUUCGUCACACUAUCAUUAACUGAAUCCAUAGGUUAAUGAGGCGAACCGGGGGAACUGAAACAUCUAAGUACCCCGAGGAAAAGAAAUCAACCGAGAUUCCCCCAGUAGCGGCGAGCGAACGGGGAGCAGCCCAGAGCCUGAAUCAGUGUGAGUGUUAGUGGAAGCGUCUGGAAAGGCGUGCGAUACAGGGUGACAGCCCCGUACACAAAAAUGCACAUGCUGUGAGCUCGAUGAGUAGGGCGGGACACGUGGUAUCCUGUCUGAAUAUGGGGGGACCAUCCUCCAAGGCUAAAUACUCCUGACUGACCGAUAGUGAACCAGUACCGUGAGGGAAAGGCGAAAAGAACCCCGGCGAGGGGAGUGAAAAAGAACCUGAAACCGUGUACGUACAAGCAGUGGGAGCACAGAGCAAUCUGUGUGACUGCGUACCUUUUGUAUAAUGGGUCAGCGACUUAUAUUCUGUAGCAAGGUUAACCGAAUAGGGGAGCCGAAGGGAAACCGAGUCUUAACUGGGCGUUAAGUUGCAGGGUAUAGACCCGAAACCCGGUGAUCUAGCCAUGGGCAGGUUGAAGGUUGGGUAACACUAACUGGAGGACCGAACCGACUAAUGUUGAAAAAUUAGCGGAUGACUUGUGGCUGGGGGUGAAAGGCCAAUCAAACCGGGAGAUAGCUGGUUCUCCCCGAAAGCUAUUUAGGUAGCGCCUCGUGAAUUCAUCUCCGGGGGUAGAGCACUGUUUCGGCAAGGGGGUCAUCCCGACUUACCAACCCGAUGCAAACUGCGAAUACCGGAGAAUGUUAUCACGGGAGACACACGGCGGGUGCUAACGUCCGUCGUGAAGAGGGAAACAACCCAGACCGCCAGCUAAGGUCCCAAAGUCAUGGUUAAGUGGGAAACGAUGUGGGAAGGCCCAGACAGCCAGGAUGUUGGCUUAGAAGCAGCCAUCAUUUAAAGAAAGCGUAAUAGCUCACUGGUCGAGUCGGCCUGCGCGGAAGAUGUAACGGGGCUAAACCAUGCACCGA
RNAcentral lists this ribosomal RNA (1157 nucleotides) under Escherichia sp. S85_ASV_4. RNAcentral describes it as "partial 23S ribosomal RNA". It matches the Rfam family "Bacterial large subunit ribosomal RNA", at positions 1 to 1197 of the family's 2925-position model. The record is from RNAcentral. Lineage: Bacteria; Pseudomonadati; Pseudomonadota; Gammaproteobacteria; Enterobacterales; Enterobacteriaceae.